GAUGAACGCUGGCGGCGUGCCUAACACAUGCAAGUCGAACGGACAGGCCAUGAGCUUGCUGGGUGCUCGAGAGGCGCACGGGUGUGUAAAACGUGAGUAACCUGCCCCUAUCUUUGUGAUAUCUCCAGGGAACUCGGGCUCUUAUCGCGUAGGAGCUCUUGCUGCACGUGGGGGAUUAGAAAGUUUCGGCGGUUGUGGCUGGUCUAGCUGCUUAUCAGCUUGUUGGUGGGGUAGUGGCUUACGAAGGCUUUGACGGGUAGCCGGCCUGGGAGGGUGAACGGGCACAUGGGGACUGAGGGAGGGACCAGACGCCAACGGGAGGCAGCAGGCGAAAAUAUGGCACAGUGGGCGGAAGCGUGAGGCAACAGCGCCGCGUGCGUGAUAACGGGCUACGAGGGAUAAACCGCUUUGGCAGUUGACGAAGCGUGAGUGACGGUAAUGGGUAAAGAAGCACCGGCUAACUACGUG
Molecule: ribosomal RNA, 468 nt
Filed under: uncultured bacterium
Lineage: Bacteria
Description: partial 16S ribosomal RNA
Rfam family: Bacterial small subunit ribosomal RNA
Source: RNAcentral